This 914-nucleotide ribosomal RNA is filed under the name Zoanthus sansibaricus. RNAcentral describes it as "partial large subunit ribosomal RNA". It matches the Rfam family "Bacterial large subunit ribosomal RNA", at positions 1575 to 2558 of the family's 2925-position model. Lineage: Eukaryota; Metazoa; Cnidaria; Anthozoa; Zoantharia; Zoanthidae. The record is from RNAcentral.
GCACAAAGUGCCAGGAAAGAAUUAUUCAAGCCCUUCCCAGAAGGUAUCCUUCUGGCAAGGGUACUGUACUAAACUAACUAAAGUGGGGGAUAGUGAGGGGAUAAAUUUUCUUAAGGAACUCGGCAAAAUCCCAAUGGCCCACCAGGGCAUAUUGGAACACGGGCCUCGACUGUUUACCAAAAACAUAGCCCUCGGCUAAUAUGAAAAUAGAUGUAUAGAGGGUGAUGCCUGCCCAAUGGUUGUAUCUAAAAGCGGUUGAUAAAAGUUGACCUCGUAAGGACAAUUGAAUGGCCGCGGUAACACUGACCGUGAUAAUGUAGCGUAAUCAAUAGCCAAUUAAUUGUUGGCCAGUAUGAAUGGCGCCACGAAGGCCCCACUGUCUUAAGGAAAUUCCCAGUGAAAUUGAAUUCGUAGUGAAGAUGCUACGUCCAAUUUGUUAGACGAAAAGACCCCGUUGAGCUUUACUGGAGCACUUACAUGGCCCCGGCCUUCCCAUGCCUGGGAACCGGCCGAAUUUAAAUGGGCGGCUUAGAUUAUGUGGCAGCCCCCCGCUGGGGCAAAUGAAACACCACUCCCCCAUGUCAAAGGGGCUAACCCCCCCCCUUGGGGGGACAGUGUAAGUAGGACAGUUUGGUUGGGGCGACCACCUUUUAAAAAGUAACGAAGGUGCGCUUAAGGUGCGCAAUUAAUGACUGAAGCCUGACUGCGAGGGGGACACCCCGAGCAGACACCCCAAAGCCCGCCCGAAAGGCGGCGGUGGGGUGGGCCAUAGUGACCCGUUAAUUUAGAGUGGAAUAGUUAACGAUCAACGAAUAAAAGUUACCACGGGGAUAACAGCGUAAUAUCGUUAGAGAGUUCACAUCGACGACGAUGUUUGCGACCUCGAUGUUGAAUUGCGGCAUCCUGGGGUGCAG